AAGGGGCAGUAAGGCAUGGGUAACCUACCUUUGGGUUCGGGAUAGCCAUCAGAGAUGGUGGGUAAUACCGGAUGACGUCGUGAGACCAAAGAUUCAUCGCCCUCAGAGGGGCCCAUGUGAUAUUAGCUAGUUGGUGAGGUAACGGCUCACCAAGGCGAAGAUGUCUAGCGGGUGUGAGAGCACGACCCGCGCCACUCGCACUGAGACACUGGCGAGACACCUACGGGUGGCUGCAGUCGAGGAUCUUCGGCAAUGGGCGCAAGCCUGACCGAGCGACGCCGCGUGAGCGAUGAAGGCCUUCGGGUUGUAAAGCUCUUUAGUGGGGGAGAAAAGCCGAAAGGUGUGAUCUAUCCCAAAAAUAAGCACGGGCUAAGUUCGUGCCAGCAGCCGCGGUAAGACGAACCGUGCGAACGUUGUUCGGAAUCACUGGGCUUAAAGGGCGCGUAGGCGGGCUGUCAAGUCUGGGGUGAAAUCCCACGGCUCAACCGUGGAACGGCCUCAGAUACUGACGGCCUCGAGGAAGGUAGGGGCAUGCGGAACUGUAGGU
RNAcentral lists this ribosomal RNA (547 nucleotides) under uncultured bacterium. RNAcentral's name for it is "bacterial SSU rRNA". It matches the Rfam family "Bacterial small subunit ribosomal RNA", at positions 102 to 674 of the family's 1533-position model. The record is from RNAcentral.